AUUGAACGCUGGCGGCAGGCUUAACACAUGCAAGUCGAGCGGGGGAAGGUAGCUUGCUACUGGACCUAGCGGCGGACGGGUGAGUAAUGCUUAGGAAUCUGCCAAUUAGUGGGGGACAACAUCUCGAAAGGGAUGCUAAUACCGCAUACGUCCUACGGGAGAAAGCAGGGGAUCUUCGGACCUUGCGCUAAUAGAUGAGCCUAAGACGGAUUAGCUGGUUGGUGGGGUAAAGGCCUGCCAAGGCGACGAUCUGUAGCGGGUAUGAGAGGAUGAUCCGCCACACUGGGACUGAGACACGGCCCAGACUCCUACGGGAGGCAGCAGUGGGGAAUAUUGGACAAUGGGGGGAACCCUGAUCCAGCCAUGCCGCGUGUGUGAAGAAGGCCUUAUGGUUGUAAAGCACUUUAAGCGAGGAGGAGGCUACUCUAGUUAAUACCUAGGGAUAGUGGACGUUACUCGCAGAAUAAGCACCGGCUAACUCUGUGCCAGCAGCCGCCGUAA
RNAcentral lists this ribosomal RNA (501 nucleotides) under uncultured bacterium. RNAcentral's name for it is "partial 16S ribosomal RNA". It matches the Rfam family "Bacterial small subunit ribosomal RNA", at positions 30 to 523 of the family's 1533-position model. The record is from RNAcentral.